AGUGAACGCUGGCGGUAGGCCUAACACAUGCGAGUCGAACGGCAGCACAGUAAGAGCUUGCUCUUACGGGUGGCGAGUGGCGGACGGGUGAGGAAUACAUCGGAAUCUACUUUUUCGUGGGGGAUAACGUAGGGAAACUUACGCUAAUACCGCAUACGACCUACGGGUGAAAGCAGGGGAUCUUCGGACCUUGCGCGAUUGAAUGAGCCGAUGUCGGAUCAGCUAGUUGGCGGGGUAAAGGCCCACCAAGGCGACGAUCCGUAGCUGGUCUGAGAGGAUGAUCAGCCACACUGGAACUGAGACACGGUCCAGACUCCUACGGGAGGCAGCAGUGGGGAAUAUUGGACAAUGGGCGCAAGCCUGAUCCAGCCAUACCGCGUGGGUGAAGAAGGCCUUCGGGUUGUAAAGCCCUUUUGUUGGGAAAGAAAAGCAGCAGGUUAAUACCCCGCUGUUCUGACGGUACCCAAAGAAUAAGCACCGGCUAACUUCGUG
RNAcentral lists this ribosomal RNA (492 nucleotides) under uncultured bacterium. Its description in RNAcentral is "partial 16S ribosomal RNA". It matches the Rfam family "Bacterial small subunit ribosomal RNA", at positions 29 to 507 of the family's 1533-position model. The record is from RNAcentral.